This 4498-nucleotide long non-coding RNA is filed under the name Sus scrofa (pig). RNAcentral describes it as "lncRNA (ENSSSCG00000059130.1)". The record is from RNAcentral. Lineage: Eukaryota; Metazoa; Chordata; Mammalia; Artiodactyla; Suidae.
UUCCUGUCAUGGCUCAGUGGUAACGAACCCAACUAGUAUCCCUGAAGAUGCAGGUUCAAUUCCUGAGUUAAGGAUCCAGUGUCGCCAUGAGCUGUGGUGUAGGCUGGGAAUUUCCAUAUGCUGUGGGCGCAGCCCUAAAAAGACAAAAAAAGAAAAAAGAAAAAAAAUCAUCUUUAAAUGUCCUAUAUCAUGCAAACUCUCAUUGGCAUUUUUGAUCUGUAUUUAAUAAAUAUUACUUUUCAUUCUCCUUGUCUUGAUACAUUUAUAGCUAUCACAGCUAUAUGUGCUGUAAUUAGAAGAGUAAGUUUACAGUAGAUGAAACUGUCUUUAAGUCUGCUUUGUCAAUAUUCAGGAACAUUUCAGGCACAAAGAGGAAAGUAUAUUCUAAAUUGAUUUAUUAUUUUAAAAUUUUGAAAUAUUUUAACUAAGAACAGACAGCUGGUUAAUGAAAGUUUAUAAGUAGUCUGGAUUGCAGAGGUAAUGGAUAUACAAAGGAAUUAGUUGUUGCAAAAUGUAAAUUGGAGGGAAAUAUAAUUUUUCUUGUGGAAGAUGAUUUCUUCUUAAAUAUCAGCGGUAUUUGAGCUCAAACAAGAUAUAUAAGAUACAUAAAGUCCACAACUAAAGAAAUUUUUAAAAAUGAUUCAGAGCAAAAGCUGCUACAAGAAAGUGUAAAAAGCAGAUUAUCUGACUUAAAUUUAUAUUCCAAGUCAAUACUGUGGUUUUGACAGUCUUGAAUUUUAUUAUAAAUCUGUUUUAGGGGCUAUUUUUAAUGAUUACAUGCAUAAUGAACCUACUAAUGCCAGAGUAUGUUUGAAAUAAAAUUUUAGAAUGCUUAAUACUGUUUCAAAAUGUAAUAUAAAGAUUUUAUUCAUACAUAUAUAUUUAGUGUUUAAUAAAAUAAGGGAAAGCCUAUGUAAAAGAUUUGACAUUUGCAAAGACACCAAGUAUGGUUAUGAAGACAAAACCUGUGAGACUAUUUUGAAACCAAAACAAAUAUCUCAGCCCUUGAAACAAAGACUACUAUUGAAGAGAUUCUAGGUAAAUCAUUUCAAAUGAAGCUCAAGAGGAAAAAAAGAUUUAUCUAGUUUGGCACUCCCCAAAGAUUUUUUAAAAAUAUUCUGGAUACCACAAAAAUCAUAAUUUGCAAGCUAUUGUUUGGGUUUUCCAAAUGCAGCAAGAAUAUUAAAAUAUUGUUGGGAUGGAUGCAGAUAAUGAGAAAAGGGAGAAAGGGAUAAAAGAACACACAGAAAUAAAUGGUCUUCACUCAGCCAGCUCGCUAAGCCUUCUGUGCAUUUGUGAGUCUAGACCAGAUCCAGAAGAGCUGCUGCCUGUCACAAUAUCACCAAAACUCAUGAGGACUCCGUUAACUGAAGAAGUAAAGCAGAUGCAUCAUAACUGAGACACAUCCUGAAGAGCUCAUGCUUCCUGAGAUUAGGAAUGUUCCCAGAACAGCUUUUACUGGCUUCAUUUUGCUUUUCUUUCCAGUCUUAUUAAGAGUAUUGGUAUUUAGGUGAGAAGAUUCCUGGACUAGGUAAUUAUGAUUUCAAAAAAGUUGAUAUUUAUGUUGUUGGCAUUUUUGUCUACACUGAUUUGCACAUUCCACUCCCAGCUUAAAAAGGACAAAGAGAAAGACAAAGACAGAGAGAGAAACAGACUUAAAAUUCAAUCAUUAAGUGAUUGAAAACAAAAUAAAGUCCAUUCUCUUAAAUACCUACUAUGUGCAUAAACCACCUUUCUUUUUGGCCACGCCUGUGGCAUAUAGAAGUUCCCAGGCAAAGGACUGAAUCCACACCACAGCAAUGACCAGGGCUGUUGCAAUGACAACAAUGGAUCCUUAACCCACUGCACCACACAGAUGUCCUUCAGUGAAGGACCUAUUGCUCCAGCUGCUGGGGGUUCUGCCAGCAGAUGCUUAUUGCUGUCAGUUUCUUUAGGAACUAUUAUAGCUACAGAAAGUGUCCCCACCCAAGGUCACCUUUUCCUGGGACAACCGACAUCUAAUAAUUUACAGAUGUGGGGGUAUUAAGGACUAGCCAUCCUGGCUUAAUGGGGAACAACUCUGAAGGACCAUUCCAGCUCCAGAGUGCCAGCAAGGUCAGCCAUGACUAUCCUUGGGCUGUAUCACUGACUGACUUUUCCCUUCCACAGGUGUUGAUCCCAAGGUGCUCUUCAGUAAAUAGGCCAUACAACCAACUCAGUCUGAGUCUCCUUCCAGAAAGACCAAAUAUGUGACCAUAUAAAUUAACAUUUAAGCAUUCCUUAUCUUACUAAAUCAGACAAUGUAAAAAAUAUACCUCAUAAGUAAAGAACAGCCCAUCUUUCUCUAUGAAAACUGUCCAAUAUUCUUAAACUUAUUGGUCACUCCAAGCUCUCAGUGGCUCUGCUUUGUGUUUCUGUUUGGCUAAUGUAACACAGAAAGUCAUUACUGUGAUUGAUGUAUUAAAAGGGGAGAGAAAAUGAAAAUGCCUUUAUCACUACCAUUAUAACAAAAGUUGUAAGUAUUUUAAUAAAAUACAGAAAGGGAUGAAUCUCUCUGAUCUAUAUGGAAAACUAUUCUGGGGAGUUUCCAUAUGCAUGGCCUCAAUCAAGUUGGACUGAUGUGACCAAAAAAUAAAGUAACUAAUGAACCUAAAUCCAGCCUCUGAAUUUGAGCUAAUUAGGUGACAAAAAGUGAUUUGCAUGCACAAGAAAGAGGGAGAGAAAGACAGAGAGAAAGAGGAAGGGAAGGCAGGAAGGUGGGAAGGAAGAGGAAAGGAGGAGGGAGGGAAAAAAAUUAAAGGAAGAAAAAGAAAAGAACCAAAAAUUCGAUAAACUCAAAUUUUUUUUAAAAAAGUCAUAAGCUCAAACAUAUUAUAGAAUCAGAGAGUUGCUAUAAAUGUAUAACAUGCAGCUGAAUGUGAGAUGCAAUAGGGAAUGGCAAGGACUAUGGUAAAACAGAGACUAAAGGCCCCAUUCACAGGGAACAGCCACUUCUUGGCUCUGGUCUACUGUUUCCUUGGAGGAAAAUAAAGUUGGCAUUGAUAGGCCUUCUGAUUUUUUUUCAAGAAGCCAUAAAUCCAAAAUUUUUAUAAAGAUUUUUCAUUUACAAAAUGUUCUGUAAGUCCAGACCAAAUAUGUUUACAGGACAGAUAUUACUGCCUGGAAGCUGCCAGAUUGCAGCUCCUUUGAGAAGACUAAUUAUAAUAUAGCAGUGACUUUGUUGUCACUUAUUUCUUAAGGUAUAUCCAAAUAAAUUUUGGUGAAUAUUAUAUUUUAAAUGACAAUAAUCUCACUAUUUAAUGGAAACAUUAUGAAAAUAAAUAUUUAAUCUUAAAGAUUUAUCUCCUUUAUAAGCUUUUGUUAAAAGGAAAAAGUCAUGUUACAGUGAGCAGUGAGUGGCCAGAUUAAUAUGAAAAGAAGAAAUUACAUUAUGUGUGAUGGAAGUAUAACAGAAAAUCUGUACAGUUUAUGUGUGAGUGUACCUAAUUCCCCUUGUACAAUACAAUUUACCUAACUAAUGAGACUUGCUGUUAACCAUUCUGUUUUCCUCUGAUUCAAAAACGACAUUAAGGAGUUCACAUCAUGCCUCAGCAGAAAUGAAACUGACCAGUAUGAGAAUGCAGGUUUGAUCCCUGGCCUUGCUCAGUGGGUCAAGGCUCCAGUGUUGCCACAAGCUGUAGUGUAGGUUAAAGACAUGGCUUGGAUCUGGCAUUGCUGUGGCUGUGGCGUAGGCCAGAGGCUACAUACAGCUCCCAUUUAACCCCUAGCCUGGGAACCUCCAUAUGCCAAGGGUGUGGCCCUAAAAAGACAAACAAAACAAAACAAAACAAAACAAAAAGAGCAUUUAAGUGAUCAACAGAAGGUAUUCAUGGGCCCUAUAUCCUGCAAAGGAAGUGUUGUUACUUAUGUUCCUCUUUCAUUUAGUUAUAAUCUGUGUUAUAGGAAAAGCACUACCACAGCCAAAGCACCAAUCAUCAUAAAUUUAUGGAGCAUGACACAUAGACUACAAUGGUCCCUCUUUGUUAAGAAUGCUGAACUUUGUCUACAGCUUUUUACACUUCACUGGAAACUAUAUCAAGUGUAUGGUUAAAGGAGAUAGAAGGCACAAUGAAACACUGCCAGAGCCAGAUUGCCAAGGCUGAUUGGUGCUUAGCAAGAGCAAAAAUGCCCUGAAGUACUAAGACAUGCACACCAGCUUUGAGACGAUCUUAUUAAAAGUCACUUUAAUUUGCCUGUUUUUCCGUAACUAAGUGGGGGUAUUACUUGCUUUGUGUUAGCCCCUUAAAUUCACCUUCCUUAUUUAAAAUGAUUUGGGGCAUUCAUUUGCUACUGACACUUAAGGAUUCAUUGGACAUAAUGUAGGUUACGUGUUUCCAGAAAAUGAGCCUGGGUGUGUCUAACACCUAAAGAUUUCAGGAAGAAAGUCAUGAGCCUCCAAGUUCAGGGAUCUUAUCACUUAUUUAAUAGAUUCCAGGACAGUAAUGAUUUUCCAAAGAUUUGCUUGAACAUUUUGAACCUU